Molecule: non-coding RNA, 30 nt
Filed under: Rattus norvegicus (Norway rat)
Lineage: Eukaryota; Metazoa; Chordata; Mammalia; Rodentia; Muridae
Source: RNAcentral
UCUCUUUAAUGACCCUGUCAGUCUUGGAGA